Molecule: ribosomal RNA, 243 nt
Filed under: uncultured bacterium
Lineage: Bacteria
Description: partial 16S ribosomal RNA
Rfam family: Bacterial small subunit ribosomal RNA
Source: RNAcentral
GUCCACGCCGUAAACGGUGAGAGCUCGUCGUCGUGGGUAUUGACCCCUGCGGUGACCAAGUUAACGCAUGAAGCUCUCCGCCUGGGAAGUACGGUCGCAAGACUAAAACUCAAAGAAAUUGACGGGGGCCCGCACAAGCGGUGGAGCAUGUUGUUUAAUUCGAAGCAACGCGCAGAACCUUACCUGGAUUUGACAUCUCGGGAAUCUUCCUGAAAAGGAAGAGUGCCUUCGGGAACCCGAUGA